AACUUUCAACAACGGAUCUCUUGGCUCUCGCAUCGAUGAAGAACGCAGCGAAAGGCGAUAAGUAAUGUGAAUUGCAGAAUUCAGUGAAUCAUCGAAUCUUUGAACGCACCUUGCGGUCUUUGGUAUUCCGACGAGCAUGCCUGUUUGAGUGUCGUGAUAGUAUCAACCUUGGCUUGGGUUUAGUGCUCUUGUGUUGGCUUGGGUUUGGCUGUUUGCCGCUCGCAAGAGUCGGCUCAGCUUAAAAGUAUUAGCUGGAUCUGUCUUUGAGACUUGGUUUGACUUGGCGUAAUAAGUUAUUUCGCUGAGGACAAUCUUCGGAUUGGCCGAGUUUCUGGGACGUUUGUCCGCUUUCUAAUACAAGUUCUAGCUUGCUAGACAUGACUUUUUUAUUAUCUGGCCUCAAAUCAGGUAGGACUACCCGCUGAACUUAAGCAUAUCAAUAAGCGGAGGCU
This 452-nucleotide unclassified non-coding RNA is filed under the name uncultured Cryptococcus. RNAcentral's name for it is "sequence contains ITS2". The stretch from base 1 to 154 matches the Rfam family "5.8S ribosomal RNA". Lineage: Eukaryota; Fungi; Basidiomycota; Tremellomycetes. The record is from RNAcentral.